This 725-nucleotide ribosomal RNA is filed under the name uncultured archaeon. Its description in RNAcentral is "bacterial SSU rRNA". It matches the Rfam family "Archaeal small subunit ribosomal RNA", at positions 556 to 1282 of the family's 1478-position model. The record is from RNAcentral.
GACUCAAUCGUCAGGCCGCGGAAGAUACUGCUAGGCUAGAGGGCGGGAGAGGUUGACGGUAUCCCGGGGUAGGGGUGAAAUCCUAUAAUCCCGGGAGGACCACCAGUGGCGAAGGCGGUCAACUAGAACGCGCCUGACGGUGAGGGACGAAAGCUGGGGGAGCGAACCGGAUUAGACACCCGGGUAGUCCCAGCCGUAAACGAUGCGGGCUAGGUGUUGGGGUAGCUACGAGCUACUCCAGUGCCGCAGAGAAGUUGUUAAGCCCGCCGCUUGGGAAGUACGGCCGCAAGGCUGAAACUUAAAGGAAUUGGCGGGGGAGCACCACAAGGGGUGAAGCCUGCGGUUUAAUUGGAGUCAACGCCGGGAAACUUACCAGGGCUGACAGCAGAGUGAAGGCCAGACUAAAGAUCUUGCCAGACAAGCUGAGAGGUGGUGCAUGGCCGUCGACAGUUCGUGCCGUGAGGUGUCCUGUUAAGUCAGGUAACGAACGAGACCCUCGCCACUAGUUGCCAACGGGUUCCGUUGGAAUGCCGGGCACACUAAUGGGACUGCCGUCGAUAAGGCGGAGGAAGGAGAGGGCCACGGCAGGUCAGUAUGCCCCGGAUGCCCUGGGCCACACGCGGGCUGCAAUGGUAGGGACAGAGGGUUCUGACCUCGAAAGGGGAAAGUAAUCCCUAAACCCUAUCGUAGUUGGGAUUGAGGGCUGAAACCCGCCCUCAUGAACA